Molecule: long non-coding RNA, 1862 nt
Organism: Sphaeramia orbicularis (orbiculate cardinalfish)
Lineage: Eukaryota; Metazoa; Chordata; Actinopteri; Kurtiformes; Apogonidae
Exons: 3
Source: RefSeq, a predicted model, not a curated record
GCCUCAGGACAGGAGCUGUGUGCUCUAGUGGAGGAUCCACACUGGAGACUGGACACUGUCAGGUUGGAUCCUGCUGGAGUCCAAAUGUUGAAACCAGGUCCAUGGAGAUGUAAGUGUGAUUUGAUUAGAUUGAUUCAAACCAACCUGAACCCAAACUGGGACCUGGUUCCACAUUCUAAACACUGCAUAAAAAGAGGUGUAUCUGUACCAGGAUAUUCCAGUGUACUCCCCUGAUUUCUGGAAGUAUUUGCCAGUUCCAUUGUCCAUAUACAUCUGAUUCCACCAAAGUAGGAGACGCCUGGAUUGAUACCAUAUGCGUACAUACGCCCUCCAGGUAGACUUCCAGGGAGCAGCCUUUUGUUGCCAUGGCAGAUAAUCCCCUCACAUUCCAGAGACAUUCACACUUCUGCUAGUAUUUUGCUGUCAUCCAUCUCAACACUGAUUGGCUGUUUAUAAAAAAAAAAAAAAAAAACAAACAAACCUCAAAACCCAGUUCCUCCCCAGUUUUAUGCAUAUUUAUACAUUAAUUCAUAUUUUUAAUGUUUUGCAUUUCACCUUUAAUUCUUUUCCCCUAAUCCAAGCUCAUUGCUUUAUUGCUUGGUUAUUCAGUGUUUUACUGCUUGGUUAUUGUUGAACCCUAUACCCCCCCCCCCCCCCCUAAAAAAAAAAGAAAAAAAAAGAAAAACAAAACAGAACUGAACUUACACUUUUUUAUUAGGCUAUUUAUUUAAAUGAAGGCAAACAGUAAUAAAAUAUGAGACAAAUAUAAAAUAAAGUGGUAACAAAUAAAAAAAAUGACAAAUGCAAUUACAAACACCACUUUUGCAAAUCCACCACUGUGCAAUUCACCAAAAUUCACCAAUGUGCAAGUUACAAGUAAACAUGAAAACACUAGUAGGCCUCUUAACUUGGUCCAUUUUCUUCUGCCAGAUUUCACUUUCCUCAAGGGUUUGGAUCAUCCUUGUCCUGGACUCCAGCAGCUGCAAAAACAAAACACGUUAACCUCUAAUAAAACACCCAAAGAUGACCCAAAGUUAGCACAAACAUUAGCUUCUACACUUCCUCUUCUUUUUCUCUGCCUGCUUUUAGCUCCAGCUCUGAUGGUGUCCCUCAGAAGCGCUUUAUCCGGCUGUGAAAGUGUCAACUUUCUCCGUAGAGUCUCAUAAUAUGUUUUGCAAUGAAGCUGAAUAAAUACAAAAAAAGAUUUCUGUGAACUUACUCUGGAUCCAAACACAGCAAACAGAAAACUGAAACUGUCUGAAAACAACAAGAAGGUGGAACGAGUGGAGGAGGUUCAGUCAUAUCCUGAUCAUCAGGACAGAUUUGACUUCUGGGAACAGGUGAUGAGUUCAACUGGUCUGACUGGUCGCUGUUACUGGGAGGUCCAGUGGAGUGGAUGGGUUUGGAUAUCAGUGACUUACAGAGGAAUCAGAAGGAAAGGAGACAGUUUAGACUGUGUGUUUGGACUCAAUGAUCAGUCCUGGAGUCUGAGCUGUGGUAGAGGUAGAUACAGUGUCAGGCAUAAAGGCAAAUACACAUUCCUCCCUCAGUCCUCCUCCUCCUCCUCCUCCUCCUCCUCCCUCCCCUCUGGUACAGUCUCAGUGUAUGUGGACUGUCCUGCUGGAUCUGUGUCCUUCUACACAGUCUGCUCUGACAAACUGAUCCACCUGCACACCUUCAAAACCACAUUCACUGAACCACUGUUUGGAGGAUUUAGACUGUGGCCAGGAUCCACAGUGUAUUUGUGUGGUGUGUAGUUGUGUGUGUUUGUGUAGUUGUGUUGUUUGUCUGUGUAGUUGUGUUGUGUGUUUGUGUAGUUGUGUUUGUGUGUAGUUGUGUUGUGUGUUUGUGUGUAGUUGUGU